ACCAGCUUGAGAAGAAAAAGAAAAUACCUCUUUUUUCCUAUGUGACGCCGUUUAGAGACCCCCACAAAAUUUCUUCCCGUUCUUCACUUUUCUCCUUCCUCUUCUCUCCCUGAAAACCGAUCUGUCUCCUUCUUCCGUCUACCCAUUUCUUCUUCUGCUCUUUCACCCAAGAUCUCCCUCUCUUCACUCACCCAACCAGCGGCACCUAACCGAAGCACUCUAACCUCCAACCGGCGACACCCAACCCAAGAAGUUCCUUCUCUUCUUCCUCUUUUGCCCAACCGGCACUACCCAAGCUUCUCUACCCUCCAACCGAUCCAAAUCCUUCUAAAGAAAUUAGAUCUAAAACCCAAAAGCCAUAGGAUGGAAAGGAACACUUUCCCUUCCGAUUUCCUUUUUUUUUUAAAUUUUAUGUAUGUACUUUUGUUGUUGUGGGUAUUGGUUGCUAGUUUAGGAUUUUUUGGUGGUUGAUUUGUGGUUUUUUGUUGUUGUUUGAAUCUGGUUUUUUUUUUGAAAGAUUGGUUUCUUUUUUUGAUCAUUUUCUUUUAUUUAAUAGUUAUCGCAUUUUAGGCUCAAUUUUUUGAGUUGCUAUCUUCGAUUUUAGGCCAAUGAAGCUGGCAUUGUGAAGGUUGCUUGGAUCCCUCCUGAGUAUGGCGAUGCUGUUGCUUGCAUUUGUGAAGAUGGGAGUUUAUCCAUAUGGGAAUAGCCUGUAGAAGGUACACAACCUUUAAGGGGUGAAGGCCAAGAAUCAAGCUUUAUUUUGGGUUUCACUUCUAAUACUCCACAGCUCAAUUCCCUCAAGAGUUCCAUAGGUGUGGGAAUUUGAUCCAGCUCAUUAGAGAUGGCUGCCAGUAGCAGAGAUGGCUGCCAGUAGCAGAGUUGGCUUUGCCUGGUGACAAGGGAGAUCAAGUUUAUUCUGUUGCAUGGGCACCAAACAUUGGACGGUAAUGGAACCAUUGUGCUUAUCAACUUGCGAAACCAGGAAUGAGAUGCAACACUUUAUUGAUUGUUUGGCUUUGAUUCUGGUUAUGAAAAUAGAAAGAACUUGCUGUUUUGACUAUUGUUUGUUGGCACUUUGUUUUGAUUUUGGCCAUGAUUCUAUUAUGAUGGGGCGUUAUUUGGGUUGUUUGUUUCAAUGUAAUUAAACUGGUUGCAUGAGCCUUUCUUGCUAGCUUGUUAUCCACUACUUUGUAUUUUACAUUAUAACAAUGAAAAUGCAUGAAUGACUAAAUUUUGAAUUUUGGAUUUUAA
Long non-coding RNA from Theobroma cacao (cacao), 1251 nucleotides. RefSeq lists it as uncharacterized. The record is from RefSeq and is a predicted model, not a curated record. NCBI's taxonomy places the organism in Eukaryota, Viridiplantae, Streptophyta, Magnoliopsida, Malvales, Malvaceae.